RNAcentral lists this long non-coding RNA (1250 nucleotides) under Salmo salar (Atlantic salmon). RNAcentral describes it as "lncRNA (ENSSSAG00000097133.1)". Lineage: Eukaryota; Metazoa; Chordata; Actinopteri; Salmoniformes; Salmonidae. The record is from RNAcentral.
GCUAAAUGACUUAAAUGUAAAUGUAAAAUGUUCAAAGUUUCGGAUAUUUUUUUAUAACCCAAACCUGAUCUGUACUUCUCCACAACUUUGUCCCUGAGCUGUUUGAAGAGCUCCUUUGUCUUCAUGGUGCCGCUUGCUUGGUGGUGCCCCUUGCUUAGUGGUGUUGCAGACUCUGGGGCCUUUCAGAACAGGUGUAUAUAUAUCGAGAUCAUGUGACAGAUCAUGUGACACUUAGAUUGCACACAGGUGGACUUUAUUUAACUAAUUAUGUGACUUCUGAAGGUAAUUGGUUGCACCAGAUCUUAUUUAGGGGCUUCAUAGCAAAGGGGGUGCAUACAUAUGAACACACCACUUUUCAGUUUUUUAUUAUUUGAGAAUUUUUUUGAAACAAGUUAUUUUUUUUCAUUUCACUUCACCAAUUUGGCCUAUUUUGUCCAUUACAUGUCCAUUACAUGAAAUACAAAUAAAAAUCCAUUUAAAUUACAGGUUUUAAUGCAACAAAAUUGGAAAAACACCAAGGGGGAUGAAUACUUUUGCAAAGCACUGUAGGUAUUUUAACAUUAUAAUUUAUUUUUACACACAAACAUUUUUUGAGGGGGUUAAUUAAAUAUUUAAUCAGUCAUCUUCCUCAAAUGAACGGGAUGAUGACAAUCUUUGCGAGACGGAGGGAAUCUGAUUUCAUUGGUCCUCAACUCGAUAAAUGGAGUUAGCCUGCAUCGGAACAGGUUAGUUGUGAAGGAUUCGUUGCCAUAGAAAUUUACCUGGUUAAAAUGUGUGCCACUUUAAAUUAGAGUUGACCAAAGUCACCACUCUGGUUUUCUGACCCUAGAGGGCGGUGUAGACCUGUGCCUGAUAACAGAUAGACUACUGUGAAUCUACAGGCUUUAAUACGGCACACUGGUCAAAAGUAGUGCACCAUAUAAGAAAUAGGGUGCCAUUUGGGGGACAGUCUGAAUGUACAGAAUGAGAUGCUUUUAAGUCCUAUAUCUCUGUUCUUUAUGAAACUGCAUUCGGAUGACCUGUUAAUGCUUUAGAAAGACUGAUCAACAUGAUUCCUCAACAUGUCCUCAUUCUUAAAGGUGACUUUUCACUCUUAUUGUAGAAACCACAUCGUGUGUAGUAGUGUUACCGUAGAAGUACAUAUUUACAUUUACAUUUAACAUUUAAGUCAUUUAGCAGACGCUCUUAUCCAGAGCGACUUACAAAUUGGUGCAUUCACCUUAUAAUAUCCAGUGGAACAACCACUUUAC